Molecule: unclassified non-coding RNA, 283 nt
Filed under: Hevea brasiliensis (rubber tree)
Lineage: Eukaryota; Viridiplantae; Streptophyta; Magnoliopsida; Malpighiales; Euphorbiaceae
Source: RNAcentral
ACAAAACAAAGGAAAAGACAGGAGGAGAUGAUUCUGUUGCUGGUCCAACUGAAGGUGAAGCAAAAACGUGGUUGGUAGAUGACAGUGUUUUGGCUCACUUUGAGUCACUCAAGUUAGAAUCAACUGAGAUUUCUACAGAAGCUGGUGUAGAUGAAGUUCAGAAUAAAGAUGAAAAAGAUGGAAAUGAUGUGCCUCUUGGAAAAAUGAUUAAAGUUUUAAAGUCACAUGGAUCAAGGGAAAAAAAGAAUAAAAAGGUCAAGAAGAAACUGGUUGAAAAGAAAAA